Long non-coding RNA from Pleuronectes platessa (European plaice), 1211 nucleotides. RefSeq lists it as uncharacterized. NCBI's taxonomy places the organism in Eukaryota, Metazoa, Chordata, Actinopteri, Pleuronectiformes, Pleuronectidae. The record is from RefSeq and is a predicted model, not a curated record. The transcript has 2 exons.
CCUCCUCCCGUGUUCCAGUUCUUUCCUCCACGUCCACACUCGACGCAGCGGAACAAACUGAGCAGAGGGCCUCCUGUCUCAGCUCAGCCCAGUUCUUCAUACUGGGUGUGUGUGCAGACCAGAGGCAGAGCAGUGCAGUGGCUUUACCCAUUCCAUCCUCAGCUGCAGCGUGGCUCUGUGGUGGAAGAGACCCCUGCUACAUGUGGCCCAUGGGCCGCUGGUUCGAUUCCUCUAAAGCAACACUGUGCAACUUGUUCACCUUGAGUCAGCAGCUUUAAAAUGAUGGUUGAGUGUCGAUCCCCUGUGAGAAGAACUGACUGAGACUCACAAACUGUCACAGUCAGCUCCAGUUGGAGAGUGAAGCUGAACUGAGAUCAGUUAAAAACACUCAGAACUUAUUAAAAACCAGAGUUUAUCUCCAAUAUUCAGCAGGAAACUAUUAAAACAUAAAGAAUUCCGCUGGCGUGUUUGCUAAAGCUGCACCUCUUCUGGUUCAGGAAGCAGGGCAUCAUGGGUAAUACCCAGCCACACUGUAAGAGCUCCAGCCAACAAGCUCAGACAUGAAGGUCAACAGAAUUAAUCCCCAUCAUGUGGCGACAGGGGGCGCUGUUACUCAGUAAAAGUUCCACAGUGUUGCUUUGAAGUGUUUUCAAAUAAGUAAUAUAUGUAAUAUUGUGUCACUUUUCACAUUAUGAAACCCAUAGUUAUCGAUGUAGAUGAUUAGAUAUGAGAAACUUUACAUACAGACUCUGUACACACACGAUCUGUCAGAUGCGUCAUGUUUUAAAACAGAAUCAGUAGAAACUCCAACAAGGGGAAGAUGGUGCCAUAAAACUACAACUGUAAUGAUACUGAUAAUAUCUGCCUCCAUCUUCUUCACCUCCUCUCUCUCUCUGCUCCAUCGUCACAUCCUGCAGGGUCCAGCAUCGGAGGAGACUGACCACUAGAUGGCGCCAGACAGCAGGAAGAUAAGAGAUGUCGUCACCGGUUCACUUGUUUGAUCUUUUCCACCAAAUUGUUCAAAUAUAUUUUUCAGGAUAUUUUUUACAGGUGUUGACAUUUAAAGUCCAACAAUUAAAAUGUGCAGGUGAAUAAAGAGAUUUAACUUAAAAAAAAUGUUGAACUUUUAAAUGUUUUGUGUCACAUUUGUAAAGAAAUCUUCUUGAUUACCUCAGCUUAAAACCAAAUAAAGAAAUAUUUUAAAUAUCCUA